RNAcentral lists this ribosomal RNA (275 nucleotides) under uncultured bacterium. Its description in RNAcentral is "partial 16S ribosomal RNA". It matches the Rfam family "Bacterial small subunit ribosomal RNA", at positions 399 to 691 of the family's 1533-position model. The record is from RNAcentral.
GCGUGAGUGAUGAAGGCCUUAGGGUUGUAAAGCUCUUUUACCAGGGAUGAUAAUGACAGUACCUGGAGAAUAAGCUCCGGCUAACUCCGUGCCAGCAGCCGCGGUAAUACGGAGGGAGCUAGCGUUGUUCGGAAUUACUGGGCGUAAAGCGCGCGUAGGCGGCUCAUCAAGUCAGGGGUGAAAUCCCGGGGCUCAACCCCGGAACUGCCCUUGAAACUGGCGAGCUAGAAUAUCGGAGAGGCAAGUGGAAUUCCGAGUGUAGAGGUGAAAUUCGU